RNAcentral lists this ribosomal RNA (253 nucleotides) under uncultured bacterium. RNAcentral describes it as "partial 16S ribosomal RNA". It matches the Rfam family "Bacterial small subunit ribosomal RNA", at positions 524 to 776 of the family's 1533-position model. The record is from RNAcentral.
UACAGAGGUCUCAAGCGUUGUUCGGAUUCAUUGGGCGUAAAGGGUGCGUAGGUGGUGCUGUAAGUCAGGUGUGAAAUUUCGGAGCUUAACUCCGAAACUGCACUUGAUACUGCGGUGCUUGAGGACUGGAGAGGAGACUGGAAUUUACGGUGUAGCAGUGAAAUGCGUAGAUAUCGUAAGGAAGACCAGUGGCGAAGGCGGGUCUCUGGACAGUUCCUGACACUGAGGCACGAAGGCCAGGGGAGCAAACGGG